AGGUCACUGCAUCGGUGUCGAUGAAGCCAUGCGAGUCGUGAGGGGUCAAAGCCCUCGGCGGAGUGCUCAGUAACACGUGGACAACCUACCCAAGUAGUCAGGGAUAACCCCGGGAAACUGGGGAUAAUACUGAUAGCCCAUGACAUCUGGAAUCGAGUUGUGGUUUAAACGUACAGACUCUUGGAUGGAUCUGCGGCGGAUUAGGUUGUUGCCGGUGUAAUGUACCAGCAAGCCUGUAAUCCGUACGGGUUGUGGGAGCAAGAGCCCGGAGAUGGAUUUUGAGACAGGAAUCCAGGCCCUACGGGGCGCAGCAGGCGCGAAAACUAUACAAUGCAGGCAACUGCGAUAGGGGAACAUCGAGUGGCAUCCACCAUGGAUGUCUGUCCAAUCGUCUAAAAAACGAUUGUCAGCAAGGGCCGGGCAAGACCGGUGCCAGCCGCCGCGGUAAUACCGGCGGCUCGAGUGGUGGCCGAUAUUAUUGAGUCUAAAGGGUCUGUAGCCGGCUUUGCAAGUCCUAUGGGAAAUCCAGCGGCUUAACCGUUGGGCUUUCAUGGGAUACUACAUUGCUUGGGACUGGGAGAGGUAGGAGGUACUCAGGGGGUAGGGGUGAAAUCCUGUAAUCCUUUGGGGACCACCGGUGGCGAAGGCGUCCUACCAGAACAGGUCCGACGGUGAGGGACGAAAGCUAGGGGCACGAACCGGAUUAGAUACCCGGGUAGUCCUAGCCGUAAACGAUGCUCGCUAGGUGUCACGGCAGUCGUGAAUUGUCGUGGUGCCGUAGGGAAGCCGUGAAGCGAGCCACUUGGGAAGUACGACCGCAAGGUUGAAACUUAA
RNAcentral lists this ribosomal RNA (834 nucleotides) under uncultured soil archaeon. Its description in RNAcentral is "bacterial SSU rRNA". It matches the Rfam family "Archaeal small subunit ribosomal RNA", at positions 21 to 859 of the family's 1478-position model. The record is from RNAcentral.